Triticum aestivum (bread wheat) is the source of this 739-nucleotide long non-coding RNA. RefSeq lists it as uncharacterized. Lineage: Eukaryota; Viridiplantae; Streptophyta; Magnoliopsida; Poales; Poaceae. The record is from RefSeq and is a predicted model, not a curated record. The transcript has 2 exons.
CUUUGAUUUCUCUGUAUUUCGUGCAUGUGUUAUGCAGUGGACAAGUGAGAAAAAGUCGUGGUCUAUUUGACAUGAAGAAGUUGAGGGAAAUGUGUUGCAAACCAUGAUGUUUUCCUUAUAUCCAAUUGAUUUGGUUGCCGGACCCCAUCGCCACUACACAAUCACAUAUGGAGGCUACUACUUAUUUGGAGAAUAAAGAUACCAAUAUGUUUAAUCUUUUCAGUGCAGGGGUCUACAGAUGCAUCACCACCAAGGAAUGCGUUGCGAGGAAGCACAUGGAGUAGUGGUGCUGCAACACUGGUGCUCAUGUCACCUACUAGAACAAGCACAAGCACAACCAUAUGCAGUCUUUUGACCUAUCGAUGCUUGUGUGAAUUCAUAAGCCUGACUGAAUCUGCCGAUGCCAGAAGGAACUUUGAAUUCGUAUGCCAUGUAUGGAACAUGUCAUUCAGAUGGUCUUUGGUUAUUCAUCUAACAAAAUAUAUGGAUGCAAGUGAAAUUUGUAACAAGGCAAAGAUUUUUGUUUCAUUUUGCAUGGAACAAGGCAAAGAUUUCACUGUCGUAUUUUUCAUUAUGUAUAGUGAAUACUUUAUUGGGCUGCAAUGCAUUUACCAUUUGAAUUAUCAUGUCGAUAAAAUCGCUCCAUGCGAGCGGUUGCCAAAUUUCCUUGUAAAAGUACCACUAGAAGCUUGUUCUUCUAAUUUGUGUGUGCUUUCAUCAAAUAGUGAUAGGCUUAUCA